AUUGAACGCUGGCGGCAGGCUUAACACAUGCAAGUCGAGCGGGGGGAGGUAGCUUGCUACCGGACCUAGCGGCGGACGGGUGAGUAAUGCUUAGGAAUCUGCCUAUUAGUGGGGGACAACAUCUCGAAAGGGAUGCUAAUACCGCAUACGUCCUACGGGAGAAAGCAGGGGAUCUUCGGACCUUGCGCUAAUAGAUGAGCCUAAGUCGGAUUAGCUAGUUGGUGGGGUAAAGGCCUACCAAGGCGACGAUCUGUAGCGGGUCUGAGAGGAUGAUCCGCCACACUGGGACUGAGACACGGCCCAGACUCCUACGGGAGGCAGCAGUGGGGAAUAUUGGACAAUGGGGGGAACCCUGAUCCAGCCAUGCCGCGUGUGCGAAGAAGGCCUUAUGGUUGUAAAGCACUUUAAGCGAGGAGGAGGCUACUUUAGUUAAUACCUAGAGAUAGUGGACGUUACUCGCAGAAUAAGCACCGGCUAACUCUGUGCCAGCAGCCGUGGUAA
RNAcentral lists this ribosomal RNA (501 nucleotides) under uncultured bacterium. Its description in RNAcentral is "partial 16S ribosomal RNA". It matches the Rfam family "Bacterial small subunit ribosomal RNA", at positions 30 to 523 of the family's 1533-position model. The record is from RNAcentral.